UGUGACUGCGUACCUUUUGUAUAAUGGGUCAGCGACUUAUAUUCUGUAGCAAGGUUAACCGAAUAGGGGAGCCGGAGGGAAACCGAGUCUUAACCGGGCGUUAAGUUGCAGGGUAUAGACCCGAAACCCGGUGAUCUAGCCAUGGGCAGGUUGAAGGUUGGGUAACACUAACUGGAGGACCGAACCGACUAAUGUUGAAAAAUUAGCGGAUGACCUGUGGCUGGGGGUGAAAGGCCAAUCAAACCGGGAGAUAGCUGGUUCUCCCCGAAAGCUAUUUAGGUAGCGCCUCGUGAAUUCAUCUCCGGGGGUAGAGCACUGUUUCGGCUAGGGGGCCAUCCCGGCUUACCAACCCGAUGCAAACUGCGAAUACCGGAGAAUGUUAUCACGGGAGACACACGGCGGGUGCUAACGUCCGUCGUGAAGAGGGAAACAACCCAGACCGCCAGCUAAGGUCCCAAAGUCAUGGUUAAGUGGGAAACGAUGUGGGAAGGCCCAGACAGCCAGGAUGUUGGCUUAGAAGCAGCCAUCAUUUAAAGAAAGCGUAAUAGCUCACUGGUCGAGUCGGCCUGCGCGGAAGAUGUAACGGGGCUAAACCAUGCACCGAAGCUGCGGCAGCGACACUGUGUGUUGUUGGGUAGGGGAGCGUUCUGUAAGCCUGUGAAGGUGUGUCGUGAGGCAUGCUGGAGGUAUCAGAAGUGCGAAUGCUGACAUAAGUAACGAUAAAGCGGGUGAAAAGCCCGCUCGCCGGAAGACCAAGGGUUCCUGUCCAACGUUAAUCGGGGCAGGGUGAGUCGACCCCUAAGGCGAGGCCGAAAGGCGUAGUCGAUGGGAAACGGGUUAAUAUUCCCGUACUUGGUGUUACUGCGAAGGGGGGACGGAGAAGGCUAUGUUGGCCGGGCGACGGUUGUCCCGGUUUAAGCGUGUAGGUGUGUGUUCCAGGUAAAUCCGGUUCACUUUAACACUGAGGCGUGACGACGAGGCACUACGGUGCUGAAGCAACAAAUGCCCUGCUUCCAGGAAAAGCCUCUAAGCAUCAGGUAACAUCAAAUCGUACCCCAAACCGACACAGGUGGUCAGGUAGAGAAUACCAAGGCGCUUGAGAGAACUCGGGUGAAGGAACUAGGCAAAAUGGUGCCGUAACUUCGGGAGAAGGCACGCUGACACGUAGGUGAAGUGAUUUACUCAUGGAGCUGAAGUCAGUCGAAGAUACCAGCUGGCUGCAACUGUUUAUUAAAAACACAGCACUGUGCAAACACGAAAGUGGACGUAUACGGUGUGACGCCUGCCCGGUGCCGGAAGGUUAAUUGAUGGGGUCAGCGCAAGCGAAGCUCCUGAUCGAAGCCCCGGUAAACGGCGGCCGUAACUAUAACGGUCCUAAGGUAGCGAAAUUCCUUGUCGGGUAAGUUCCGACCUGCACGAAUGGCGUAAUGAUGGCCAGGCUGUCUCCACCCGAGACUCAGUGAAAUUGAACUCGCUGUGAAGAUGCAGUGUACCCGCGGCAAGACGGAAAGACCCCGUGAACCUUUACUAUAGCUUGACACUGAACAUUGAGCCUUGAUGUGUAGGAUAGGUGGGAGGCUUUGAAGUGUGGACGCCAGUCUGCAUGGAGCCGACCUUGAAAUACCACCCUUUAAUGUUUGAUGUUCUAACGUGGACCCGUUACCCGGGUUGCGGACAGUGUCUGGUGGGUAGUUUGACUGGGGCGGUCUCCUCCUAAAGAGUAACGGAGGAGCACGAAGGUUGGCUAAUCCUGGUCGGACAUCAGGAGGUUAGUGCAAUGGCAUAAGCCAGCUUGACUGCGAGCGUGACGGCGCGAGCAGGUGCGAAAGCAGGUCAUAGUGAUCCGGUGGUUCUGAAUGGAAGGGCCAUCGCUCAACGGAUAAAAGGUACUCCGGGGAUAACAGGCUGAUACCGCCCAAGAGUUCAUAUCGACGGCGGUGUUUGGCACCUCGAUGUCGGCUCAUCACAUCCUGGGGCUGAAGUAGGUCCCAAGGGUAUGGCUGUUCGCCAUUUAAAGUGGUACGCGAGCUGGGUUUAGAACGUCGUGAGACAGUUCGGUCCCUAUCUGCCGUGGGCGCUGGAGAACUGAGGGGGGCUGCUCCUAGUACGAGAGGACCGGAGUGGACGCAUCACUGGUGUUCGGGUUGUCAUGCCAAUGGCACUGCCCGGUAGCUAAAUGCGGAAGAGAUAAGUGCUGAAAGCAUCUAAGCACGAAACUUGCCCCGAGAUGAGUUCUCCCUGAGACUUAGAGUCUCCUGAAGGAACGUUGAAGACGACGACGUUGAUAGGCCGGGUGUGUAAGCGCAGCGAUGCGUUGAGCUAACCGGUACUAAUGAACCGUGAGGCUUAACCUU
RNAcentral lists this ribosomal RNA (2354 nucleotides) under Salmonella enterica subsp. enterica serovar Enteritidis str. 77-2659. Its description in RNAcentral is "bacterial LSU rRNA". It matches the Rfam family "Bacterial large subunit ribosomal RNA", at positions 592 to 2925 of the family's 2925-position model. The record is from RNAcentral. Lineage: Bacteria; Pseudomonadati; Pseudomonadota; Gammaproteobacteria; Enterobacterales; Enterobacteriaceae.